AUUGAACGCUGGCGGCAGGCCUAACACAUGCAAGUCGAACGGUAGCACAGAGAGCUUGCUCUCGGGUGACGAGUGGCGGACGGGUGAGUAAUGUCUGGGAAACUGCCUGAUGGAGGGGGAUAACUACUGGAAACGGUAGCUAAUACCGCAUAACGUCGCAAGACCAAAGUGGGGGACCUUCGGGCCUCAUGCCAUCAGAUGUGCCCAGAUGGGAUUAGCUAGUAGGUGGGGUAACGGCUCACCUAGGCGACGAUCCCUAGCUGGUCUGAGAGGAUGACCAGCCACACUGGAACUGAGACACGGUCCAGACUCCUACGGGAGGCAGCAGUGGGGAAUAUUGCACAAUGGGCGCAAGCCUGAUGCAGCCAUGCCGCGUGUGUGAAGAAGGCCUUCGGGUUGUAAAGCACUUUCAGCGGGGAGGAAGGCGGUGAGGUUAAUAACCUCAUCGAUUGACGUUACCCGCAGAAGAAGCACCGGCUAACUCCGUGCCAGCAGCCGCGGUAAUACGGAGGGUGCAAGCGUUAAUCGGAAUUACUGGGCGUAAAGCGCACGCAGGCGGUCUGUCAAGUCGGAUGUGGAAUCCCCGGGCUCAACCUGGGAACUGCAUUCGAAACUGGCAGGCUAGAGUCUUGUAGAGGGGGGUAGAAUUCCAGGUGUAGCGGUGAAAUGCGUAGAGAUCUGGAGGAAUACCGGUGGCGAAGGCGGCCCCCUGGACAAAGACUGACGCCCCGGUGCGAAAGCGUGGGGAGCAAACAGGAUUAGAUACCCUGGUAGUCCACGCUGUAAACGAUGUCGAUUUGGAGGUUGUGCCCUUGAGGCGUGGCUUCCGGAGCUAACGCGUUAAAUCGACCGCCUGGGGAGUACGGCCGCAAGGUUAAAACUCAAAUGAAUUGACGGGGGCCCGCACAAGCGGUGGAGCAUGUGGUUUAAUUCGAUGCAACGCGAAGAACCUUACCUGGUCUUGACAUCCACAGAACUUUCCAGAGAUGGAUUGGUGCCUUCGGGAACUGUGAGACAGGUGCUGCAUGGCUGUCGUCAGCUCGUGUUGUGAAAUGUUGGGUUAAGUCCCGCAACGAGCGCAACCCUUAUCCUUUGUUGCCAGCGGUUAGGCCGGGAACUCAAAGGAGACUGCCAGUGAUAAACUGGAGGAAGGUGGGGAUGACGUCAAGUCAUCAUGGCCCUUACGACCAGGGCUACACACGUGCUACAAUGGCAUAUACAAAGAGAAGCGACCUCGCGAGAGCAAGCGGACCUCAUAAAGUAUGUCGUAGUCCGGAUUGGAGUCUGCAACUCGACUCCAUGAAGUCGGAAUCGCUAGUAAUCGUAGAUCAGAAUGCUACGGUGAAUACGUUCCCGGGCCUUGUACACACCGCCCGUCACACCAUGGGAGUGGGUUGCAAAAGAAGUAGGUAGCUUAACCUUCGGGAGGGCGCUUACCACUUUGUGAUUCAUGACUGGGGUGA
This 1463-nucleotide ribosomal RNA is filed under the name uncultured Klebsiella sp. Its description in RNAcentral is "bacterial SSU rRNA". It matches the Rfam family "Bacterial small subunit ribosomal RNA". The record is from RNAcentral. Lineage: Bacteria; Pseudomonadati; Pseudomonadota; Gammaproteobacteria; Enterobacterales; Enterobacteriaceae.